UACGUAGGCAGCGAGCGUUGUUCGGAGUUACUGGGCGUAAAGGGUGUGUAGGCGGUUGUUUAAGUUUGGUGUGAAAUCUCCCGGCUCAACUGGGAGGGUGCGCCGAAUACUGAAUGACUAGAGUACGGGAGAGGAAAGUGGAAUUCCUGGUGUAGCGGUGAAAUGCGUAGAUAUCGGGAGGAACACCAGUGGCGAAGGCGGCGACCUGGACGGACACUGACGCUGAGACGCGAAAGCGUGGGGAGCAAACAGG
RNAcentral lists this ribosomal RNA (253 nucleotides) under uncultured prokaryote. Its description in RNAcentral is "partial 16S ribosomal RNA". It matches the Rfam family "Bacterial small subunit ribosomal RNA", at positions 524 to 776 of the family's 1533-position model. The record is from RNAcentral.